UACGUAGGUGGCAAGCGUUGUUCGGAAUAACUGGGCGUAAAGGAUGCGUAGGCGGUUAAACAAGUUAUAUGUUAAAUAUAUAGGCUUAACCUGUAGAAAGCAUAUAAAACUGUUUAACUAGAGUGCAAGAGAGGUAAGUGGAAUUCCUAGUGUAGCGGUGAAAUGCGUAGAGAUUAGGAAGAACACCAGUGGCGAAGGCGACUUACUGGACUGUAACUGACGCUGAGGCAUGAGAGCAUGGGGAGCAAACAGG
This 253-nucleotide ribosomal RNA is filed under the name uncultured bacterium. RNAcentral's name for it is "partial 16S ribosomal RNA". It matches the Rfam family "Bacterial small subunit ribosomal RNA", at positions 524 to 776 of the family's 1533-position model. The record is from RNAcentral.